Molecule: ribosomal RNA, 253 nt
Filed under: uncultured bacterium
Lineage: Bacteria
Description: partial 16S ribosomal RNA
Rfam family: Bacterial small subunit ribosomal RNA
Source: RNAcentral
UACAGAGGGUGCGAGCGUUGUCCGGAAUCACUGGGCGUAAAGGGCGCGUAGGCGGCUUGAUAAGCGUGCGGUGAAAGCCCGGGGCUCAACCCCGGGUCGGCCGUGCGAACUGUCGAGCUGGAGCACUGUAGAGGCAGGUGGAAUUCCGGGUGUAGCGGUGGAAUGCGCAGAUAUCAGGAGGAACACCGGUGGCGAAGGCGGGUCUCUGGGCCAUUACUGACGCUGAGGAGCGAAAGCGUGGGGAGCGAACAGG